Pelobates cultripes (western spadefoot toad) is the source of this 102-nucleotide non-coding RNA. The record is from the annotation of a GenBank genome assembly. NCBI's taxonomy places the organism in Eukaryota, Metazoa, Chordata, Amphibia, Anura, Pelobatidae.
GGCGAGGGAGCACCUCCUCUGAUCUGACUGCUCAGCUCCCAGCCUCACUCUGCGGCACGCGAGGGAGCUGAGCAGUCAGCUCAGAGGAGGUGCUCCCUCGCC